CCUACGGGUGGCAGCAGUGGGGAAUAUUGGACAAUGGGCGAAAGCCUGAUCCAGCCAUGCCGCGUGUGUGAAGAAGGCCUUCGGGUUGUAAAGCACUUUCAGUGGGGAAGAAAGCCUUGGGGCUAAUACCCUCGAGGAAGGACAUCACCCACAGAAGAAGCACCGGCUGAACUCCGUGCCAGCAGCCGCGGUAAUACGGAGGGUGCGAGCGUUAAUCGGAAUUACUGGGCGUAAAGCGCGCGUAGGCGGUCUGAUAAGCCGGUUGUGAAAGCCCCGGGCUCAACCUGGGAACGGCAUCCGGAACUGUCAGGCUAGAGUGCAGGAGAGGAAGGUAGAAUUCCCGGUGUAGCGGUGAAAUGCGUAGAGAUCGGGAGGAAUACCAGUGGCGAAGGCGGCCUUCUGGACUGACACUGACGCUGAGGUGCGAAAGCGUGGGUAGCAAACAGGAUUAGAUACCCUAGUAGUC
RNAcentral lists this ribosomal RNA (466 nucleotides) under Vreelandella stevensii. RNAcentral's name for it is "partial 16S ribosomal RNA". It matches the Rfam family "Bacterial small subunit ribosomal RNA", at positions 338 to 795 of the family's 1533-position model. Lineage: Bacteria; Pseudomonadati; Pseudomonadota; Gammaproteobacteria; Oceanospirillales; Halomonadaceae. The record is from RNAcentral.